Molecule: small nuclear RNA, 127 nt
Organism: Oncorhynchus tshawytscha (Chinook salmon)
Lineage: Eukaryota; Metazoa; Chordata; Actinopteri; Salmoniformes; Salmonidae
Gene: U1
Rfam family: U1 spliceosomal RNA
About the family: U1 is a small nuclear RNA (snRNA) component of the spliceosome (involved in pre-mRNA splicing). Its 5' end forms complementary base pairs with the 5' splice junction, thus defining the 5' donor site of an intron.
Source: Ensembl
AUACUUACCUGGCAAGGGAGAAACUGUGAUUAAGAAGGCAGUUCACCCAGGGUGAGGCUCAGCCAUUGCACUCCGGCUGUGCUGACCCCUGCGAAUUUCCCAAAUGUGGAAAUCUCGAUUGCAUAGC